GAUGAACGCUGGCGGCGUGCCUAAUACAUGCAAGUCGAGCGAACGGACGAGAAGCUUGCUUCUCUGAUGUUAGCGGCGGACGGGUGAGUAACACGUGGAUAACCUACCUAUAAGACUGGGAUAACUUCGGGAAACCGGAGCUAAUACCGGAUAAUAUUUUGAACCGCAUGGUUCAAAAGUGAAAGACGGUCUUGCUGUCACUUAUAGAUGGAUCCGCGCUGCAUUAGCUAGUUGGUAAGGUAACGGCUUACCAAGGCAACGAUGCAUAGCCGACCUGAGGGGGGAAGGGGCCACACGGGAAGGGAGACACGGCCAAGAGCACGAGGGGAGGCGGCAGAGGGGAAUUUACGGAAAGGGGAGAAAGCCUGACGGAGCAAGGCGGCGUGAGUGAUGAAGGUCUUCGGAUCGUAAAACUCUGUUAUGAGGGAAGAACAAAGGUGAAAGUAACUGGGCACAUCUUGACGGUACCGAAAAAAAAAGCAACGGCUAACUCCGUG
RNAcentral lists this ribosomal RNA (497 nucleotides) under uncultured bacterium. RNAcentral describes it as "partial 16S ribosomal RNA". It matches the Rfam family "Bacterial small subunit ribosomal RNA", at positions 28 to 507 of the family's 1533-position model. The record is from RNAcentral.